Esox lucius (northern pike) is the source of this 2043-nucleotide long non-coding RNA. RefSeq lists it as uncharacterized. The record is from RefSeq and is a predicted model, not a curated record. NCBI's taxonomy places the organism in Eukaryota, Metazoa, Chordata, Actinopteri, Esociformes, Esocidae. The transcript is spliced from 3 exons.
UCUAAAAUAGUUCAAAGAAAGAAAGACUAUUGGCGAUGCAAACACUCAUAAGAAUGAAGGGUGAACACUAGGGAAGCUAGUCAUUUCCAAUCAGCGCUUUAAUGGGACUGAGUGAACGCGUCGCUUCGCCUGCCGAGACGGACAGCACGAGGCAGAACGUCAGCAGUAGAUAUGGCCACCGCUGAGAGACAUUGUUCACACAAUCCCCCCGGUGGGCCAGUGAGGCACAUGCAUCGAGAGGUAGAGACUAAGCUCAAAUGGCUGUUAGCUGGAGCAAGAAAACAAGACACGUGCCGGAGGGGUUGGCAACACGACACAUCACGCACAGUUCACCCACACACAGUCCCUGUAAAUACGUUCAUCAAGCAAGAAGCCGUGGCGAGAGCAAGAAAAUAUUGAGAGUAGACACGCCAUAGAAGAUGGAGGUUCCAGUCCCAAAGGAAGCCCAGCCUUGCAGCCCGUCAGGCCCAGGGUGUCAAUCACCCUGCUGUAAAAUGUGUCACCAUGGAUACGUUGUCCCUGCCCCAGUGUUUUCCUAAAGCAGCUCUGCAGGUCAUCACCUUUAAACUGUCAAUCAAAGAAAAAGCUUUCCAAGUGAUACGGGAAAGUGGAGCGUACACUUUGAGGAGGACUGAUAGAAGAAGGGGAAAUGUCAAUGCUGGUGAAGGGAUUGAAUGAAGCUACCUUAGCAUAUUGCAUUGGUGUAAAGCUUUUUGAGGGUUGCACACCCAGGGACACACACACUCACAUCUAUGCGCCCCUUCUGUGUGCCACACUUGAGUCCUCCAUCGCUCAGCUGCAAGAAAGGGAUAUAAUAGGUAGGGUUGCCGCAAACUGGGGGGGACAAAAAGAUCCAUUCUACCCACUGUUGAUCUUGGUCGCUGCAGCGAUUAGAUAGCGCUGUUGCUCGUUCAGCUGGGGAGAUAAGAAGCAACAGGACCCCGGCGCUGAAACACUUUCAUUCAGUAGAAACGAUAAACAGCAGGUCCUCUGGGGAGGGAGUCCACCCAGAACACAAUGGUGUUGAGUGUGUAGCCACCUGCAGAAUUGGGAACACAGAUCUGACCAGUGAGGUGAGAGUUCUAUGUAGGUGGCAGUCAGCCAUAUCACAUCAUGGCUGGUGGUUUAUGUGGUUCACUGAGGGUUAUGUAUUAAAAGUAGGUCUCAUGGCUGGUGGUUUACGUGGUUCACUGAGGGUUAUGUAUUAACAGCAGGCCUCAUGGCUGGUGUUUUACAGGGUUCACUGAGGGUUAUGUAUUAACAGCAGGCCUCAUGGCUGGUGAUUUACGUGGUUCACUGAGGGUUAUGUAUUAACUGUAGGCCUCAUGGCUGGUAGUUCAUGUGGUUCACUGAGGGUUAUGUAUUAACAGCAGGCCUCAUGGCUGGUGGUUUACAUGGUUCACUGAGGGUUAUGUAUUGACAUCAGGCCUUUAGGACAUUAGACAUUAAGUUGGGGAGAGGUACGUUGUUUUUAUCUCUAUUAAGUGAAAAGAGAGGUGGCGCUGUUUUGCUAGCUCAGCUGCUUUUUUUGGUGAGUUAGGGGCACCAGAUAGAGGGAUGGAUAUGUAGCUAACUAUGCAUGCAGCUGAAUAGCUACCUGAUUAUCUAUUGUAUGUUUUUUUUUUUCCAGGUGUUGUCUGGCACCCCCUUAUUCCUGUCCUUACAUUGUUUGACUGCUUUAGCCAAAACACAAACAGUAAGAUUAGGAUGGGAGAGAAUUGUCCCCGUGGUUUAUAGCAGUACUGAACAAAAAAAGCAAUGGUGGAAUACAUGGGCUGAUACAAAUCCAGCAUCUGACCCCUGAUUGACCCAUUAGGUGUGUACUUCAUUUCUGUGGUGCAGCAUGUUUACUGUUGCCUUGUUUACCUAUUGAGCCUAGAGUGCAGUCUCCGCUAAUGUGGGAAUCUCAAGUGGUAAGUGGAUGUGAACGCAAACACUCUUAUGAGACACAAGGGCCUGAGAACUUGAAAACUUGAAUACUUAAGGUAUUGAGGGAAAAUAAACACUUGUCCAAAUAAUACACACACACCUGUGCAAAUAAUA